RNAcentral lists this long non-coding RNA (1763 nucleotides) under Salvia miltiorrhiza (redroot sage). Its description in RNAcentral is "long non-coding RNA (SMIL_LNC001798)". Lineage: Eukaryota; Viridiplantae; Streptophyta; Magnoliopsida; Lamiales; Lamiaceae. The record is from RNAcentral.
CAAAUUCACAAAUCAACAAAACAAAUUCAAUCUUUUAAAAUUCAUCCUGUUUCUUCCCACUGCUGAAUCUCCAUCGGUAAUUCUCAUAAACUUGUAUAGUUUUAUUUUCAUAUGCAAAGAUCUCUGCUUUCUUUUAAUUUACAGAAAAACAACCAAACUCCCACAAAAUUCUUGUUUUUACAAAUUCAAACAUGCAUACACAGGUAUUUAAUUCAUAAGAAAUCGAAAAGGAAUACAUAUUCAUUAAUUUUACAGAAAACAAACUUAGAUUUAGAAACCUUUGUUGAUAAAGGGAGUUGGGAUGAAGUGGGGUGAUGAGCUACUCGCCGGAGCUAUGACCGCCGCCACAUAUGAGAGGCAGCGGCGGAGAGGAGGGGAAGCGGUUGAACAGCACCGCCGGCGCUUCACGCCACGGCGGCCGGCGAAGGAGAAGAAGCAGGGCACAGUCCAGAUCUGGAAGAGGCGCGAUGGCGCCGCUGCCGUAUGUUGUUGUCCGACCCGGAGAGAGAGGCUGAGAGGGCGUGACAGAGUGAGAUGUCGAGAGUGAGAGGGAGACUAGAGGUGAGGAAAGGGAGAGAAGGUGAUGGCGGCAGUACAGGAAGGGAGGCGGCUGGGCGCGCCUCCGUCGACACAGGGACGGCGGUGGUGGCGUUGCGGUCGGCCAAGAGGGAGGAAGAAGAGGAGUCGCCGGCCUCCGGCGACGGUGUGCCGGCGAUGGCGGCAGGAGGCCGAGGGAGAGAAAGGGGAUGAGAGAGGAGAGAGUAGCUGUUAGAGAAGGGAGGGUGUGUGCGUGAAUUAUGUGUGUGUGAUGGAAGUAGAAGUCAAAAGUGGGUAUUAAAUUAGGGUGAAGGGAAGAAUGGGCUUGGGGUGGUUUUUAUGGGUUUUAAAUUUAGGUUUAAUUUUAUUAAAUGUUUGGGCUUAAAUCAACUUAUUUUUAUGGACUGCAUUUGCAUACAUUUAUACAAAGGAUAUCAUUAAAUUUUUAUAUUUCGAUUUACAUUAUUAACUUAGUUUUAAUUAAAUAUUGAGCUCAAAUAUUAUUAUAAGAAAAAUUCUUUUAUAAUUUAUUAGACCAAUGAUUUUUCCAAAUGAUUUUAUUAUAAUAAAUUCUUAAGAUUUAAACUACUAUUAUUAUUAUUUUUAAGUUUAAUUAGGCUUUAUAUUUAUUAUUUGAAUUUAUCUGACUAGGUGCGGCGCGACUAGGACAUAACUGUUGAUCUGAAAUUAUUCAAGUUAUCUAUCAAAGCUCAAGUUUCAGGUGUGGGAUUUAUUUCAGUACAUGCACGUGGUUAAUAUUUGUCCAUUUUAAUAUUAUGUGUUUACCGUAUGUGUUGUAAAAAUAUUUAUCGCUAGGGGCCAGCAUAAUUGGUCCAGGACUUCACCGUCCUUGGUAUGCCACAAUGCGAUUUCAUGUUACAGGGUUGCAACCAUUAUAUUGUCGCCAGGGAUCCAUAUAUAGGGUCCGGGACAUUAAAGUCCUUGGAGUUGCCACAGUGCGUAUGGAAGUUAUGUUACGUUAUGACAAUAUGUGUUACCAUUUUAUUAACAUGGACAACUAUUGCAUGUUUCCACACUGAGUGUACCCUGUAUGCUCAUCCCAUAUUCAACAGUUUCAGGUGAUUGAUAUCGGAGGCGCGUGGAGAGUCGAAUGGGCGCGUCACAUCUAUUUAAAAAUAAAUGUUUCUUAAAACAUAUUGUAUUAUUUCAUGUGAUAUUUUUGGUUAUGUAAACUCUGAAAUUCUAUAUUAUUUGAGAUUUGUGUG